RNAcentral lists this unclassified non-coding RNA (220 nucleotides) under Hevea brasiliensis (rubber tree). Lineage: Eukaryota; Viridiplantae; Streptophyta; Magnoliopsida; Malpighiales; Euphorbiaceae. The record is from RNAcentral.
CUCACACCGACGACCUUCGUUCAUGUUCUCGUUAGGGGCCAAGUCGACCUCGAUGGGGAGAUCAACAAGUGCGAGAAGAAGCUGGCGUUGGCGAAGAUGAACCUGUCGAAAAUCGAGAAGUUCGAGUCGCAGGCGGACUACGAGACCACCGUCCCUGAGAAUGUCCGUUUGGCCAACGAUGAGAAGAGGAAAACGUACGAGGCUGAUAUCAAGCUGCUGG